This 253-nucleotide ribosomal RNA is filed under the name uncultured bacterium. RNAcentral describes it as "partial 16S ribosomal RNA". It matches the Rfam family "Bacterial small subunit ribosomal RNA", at positions 524 to 776 of the family's 1533-position model. The record is from RNAcentral.
UACGGAGGGUGCAAGCGUUGUCCGGAUUUAUUGGGUUUAAAGGGUGCGUAGGCGGCCCAUUAAGUCAGCGGUGAAAGCCCGGGGCUCAACCCCGGAACCGCCGUUGAUACUGGUGGGCUUGAGUUCGGUGAAGGCGGGCGGAACUGGCGGUGUAGCGGUGAAAUGCUUAGAUACCGCCAAGAACCCCGAUUGCGUAGGCAGCUCGCUGUGCCGAAACUGACGCUGAGGCACGAAAGCGUGGGGAGCGAACAGG